Molecule: long non-coding RNA, 5251 nt
Organism: Acinonyx jubatus (cheetah)
Lineage: Eukaryota; Metazoa; Chordata; Mammalia; Carnivora; Felidae
Exons: 2
Source: RefSeq, a predicted model, not a curated record
UCUGCCACAGACCCACUGUCCAACCUCAGCAUUCAAGCCACUCAUUUCAGUUUCUAGUGACUCUGUUCCCAUCUGCAGAACGGGUACAAGGCUGGGAUUCUGUGACGAUGAACAGAGGGCCUGAAACACUUCUCUACGGUGGCGUCCCAGUCUUUUCUCUACUUCCAGGUCCAACUAAAUUUGCCAGUUACCAAACCAAAUACAAAUGACACCUAGCAAAAAGUGAUCCAGGAACUCAGAGUCCAAAAGGAGGCCUGGUGGCAAGCCCUGUCCGUCUCCUUGCUGUGUUCAAAGCUCUGUCCAGUUCACAGUGUGGCCAGAUGCUAGUGUGUAUGCGUUAAACUCUGGGGGGUGGGGAAUGCUCUCUUGGUGAGGGCUUGCGCUGCAGGAAAGUGACAUGGUCCCUCUGCAACACGACUCCAUCCAUGAGUGACACGGGGGCUGUGGCUGGAAGGCCCCACUCGAGGUGGCAAGGGUUGCGGCCUGCCCUUUACCGUCCACGUGGCUCAGCUCUGGGCCAGUGCUGUCUUCUGUACCCAGAGAGGCUGGGAGGUUUUUACACAGGCCCCGUGUUCUCGCUCCGUGUGGUUCGGGCCCCUCCCAGGCAGGCUGAUUUGUGAAUGUGUUGAAUUCCAGCACACUAGACAGCCUAACCACAGACUGGUGUUUUGUUUCUCUACCGGAUACACCUGCCCAAAAAGCGGGGUUCACUCAUGCUGCAGGCUCCGGUUUGUUUCACUUUUGAAAAAUCGCACCCUCCAGAUAAACCAGAGGGUAUAAUCGUGAGCCCUGAGAACCUGCGGAGGCUAACGAGUAACGGAAUUGAUUUUCUUUUCUUUUAGGGGCACAGGACCAUAGUAUAAAAUUGCUUUUCUCAUCCAGAUGAGCAUUUUCCACAUUCUGUCGAUCAUCAUUUCCCAAAUCCUACCACCCAAGAGGAUUUUACAGAGAUGCGGAUGCAGCAUCAAAGAGCAUUGAGUCACGGACUGGGAAAAUCAGUCCCUUUUUAGUUUUUCCAAUCUUCCUGGUUUUGUCAAGAAAAAAAAAAUCUUCAUUUGAUGCCAGUAUUUCUUUACCAUCUAACACUAAUCUACCCUUAAAAAACCCCAGCAACAACAAAAUGAGCGCAGAUCUCAGAUUUUGAGUCCUUAGUUAGAUGUGGUGUCUACUUAAAUGCUAUGUUGUCUAGCUCAAAUUUGACAUUAUUGUUUCAUUUAUACUGUGAUUAUUUUUAGGAUUCAUUUUCGGCAGGGAUAGCUGUUUGCCAUUUAUUCUUUUGAAAUAAAUAUCCUCAAGUUUUUAAAAUGGUAAAGAAAGAUAUGAAGUAAAUAAUUGCACAGGUGCUAUUCAUCAAUCAUGUAAGUCAUGAGGGUAGUAUAUGGUGAUCUUCUGCUAUGAGAGAAAUUGGGAGGGAAUACCCAAAUACCUGACAUGUGAACAACUGGGCUUUGGAGUCAGAUGAACGGACGUGGGUUUAAAUCGCCAUCUACCACUGGAUACUUGACCCAGAGCAAGUGAUUUAACUUCGUUCCACAUCUGCAAAAUCAGGAGAAUGGCCGUUCACGACCCACCUUGGGAUUUUUGUGAAGACAACGUACGUAAGCUUGCAUGUGUAAUGCAUGGUCCUAGAACAUACUCAAUAAGGUUAGCCAUUAUUAUUUUUUCUGGAAGUUUGUACCUCUUAUUACCCUUCACCCGUCUGCCCCUCCCCUCACCCCCCUGCCCCCUUACACGCCAUGUAAGCGCCGUGCCUGGCACCUAACACAGUGAGGUAUAACCACUCCCGUAAUUUCUGUUAUCAUUAGCAUCAUGUGUUAGUUCGUGUCUGCUUUGAAGCAGAUGUCAAAGUGGGAUUAGAUGAGCACAGGACUUACGAAGGGGAAAACCCGUGAAGGAGAAAGGACCAGAGAGCAGGGGAAAGGGAAGAGAAGUCCUAACACCUGUAACAGGAAGGAGGCUAGGGUUGGAGAAGCCUCAGACUGCAGUACAGUGACAAGCCACUGAGGAGUCUGGGAGCCAAAGUCGACCAAAGUCAAGCCAAAGACAUCCCUUUGCUGCACUCUGUCAUUGGUUGGGAGAAGCUCACGGGAAAUGUGGUCUUCAUGUGGACGUGGUGGCAGAUCUAGAAGGGCCGCCCCACCAGAGGAUAUCUGAGUGGCACAUUCAUGGCUGCUAUGCCUAUCAUUUCCAUCUUGCAUGUGAAAAAUGCAACCUGAGAGUUUCCUCCAAUUCAUUUAUCUAGUUAAGUACCCGGUCAUUGCAAACCAGAUAGAGAUUGAAAUUACUUCACACCUAAAAGUGAAAUAUGAUAUUUGAAGGAUGAAAGAAACUCAUGGCCAACUUAUGAUUUUUUUGUUUCAAUGCCCAGCUAACAAACCAAGAAAUUAUUUACUUUUGAAGAGUUUGUCUUGGUCACAUUUUUUUUUUACUAACCCUAUUUGCCUUUUAGCUCUAAUUUUGGGUUUCUAAGGUUUAGCAUUUCAGUCAGAGAGUUAAGCACAGUUGAUAUUUUCAUGCAAAUUGAAUCUAACCCAGGGGCCCAAAUGUCAAUCUACAGGUAUGUUCAGCUCAUACAAUGUUAAAAAUAUUAUUGAACCAACAUUUUAAAAUUGGGAGAUAUCAUAUUAAAAAAAAUUAUUUUUGGUCUCAAAAGCCAGAAGAUCUGGAACAUUGAGCCUGAAUUUCAGCAUGACAAUAUGAUGUAGGGUGAGGUCAACUGCCCCUCAAAGCGGGGCUUUCCUGUUUGCUCCACCUGUAGGCUUCACUACCCGCAUAAAAUAUGCAGACGUCCUUACACCCAGCAGGCUUCACUUAUUUAUACACCGGCUUGGUCCUUUGGGCAGAGUGGUAAGUGUGCCCCCAUAUCACAUUCUACCCUUCUUCUGUAGCAAUGUUUUAGCUGGACUCACGGGUGCCCAGCUAGGACUACAUUUCCCAGUCUCCCUUGCAGCUUGCAGCUAGUGUGCUCAUGUUGCUAAGUUCUGGCGAAUGGUACGAAAGCAGAAUUGAUGUUUGGAACUUCCAGACUUCUUUUAUUUUUAUUAUUUUUUUUAACGUUUUUAUUUAUUUUUGAGACAGAGAGAGAGCAUGAACGGGGGAGGGUCAGAGAGAGAGAGGGAGACACAGAAUCUGAAACAGGCUCCAGGCUCUGAGCUGUCAGCACAGAGACGACGUGGGGCUGCAACUCGCGAACCACGAGAUCAUGACCUGAGCUGAAGUCGGACGCUCAACCGACUGAGCCACCCAGGCGCCCCCCAGACUUCUUUUACAAAAAAGCAAGGUGCCCUCCCUUCUUUCUUUCCUUCUUCUUGCCACAGCUGGAAUGCGGAUGUGAUGGUGGGAGCCAGAGCAGCCAUCUGACACCACAAGAUGGAAGCCAUAUAUAUUGAGAACAGCAAAGCAAAAAGAUAGGAGGAAACGGGGGGUCCAACACCAAAGCACAUGUACCAGCUCUGAAAAGCUUGUGCUCAGACUGUUACACCAGAAAAAUAAAAUUCCACUUUCGUGUCCCUUUUACACAGCAGCCUUAACUGUAUCUUAACUAAUACAUACCCAUUUGCAAUUGAGUCUGGCCUCAGACUUAAUUGGAACUGAGGUGUAAAGGAAAAGAAAAUUAGUGAUUUUGCAAUUUUUUCCUCCUAAAAGGAACCUGUGUGAGCAGCAUCAAAACAAAUUGCACUGAGAGCUGAGAUGAGGCAUAAUCCUCUCUAGGGUAAAAGCAGUACGGAAAACCCUGUCCCUGUCUCAACAGGCUCUGUUUGCAGGUGGUUCCAUUUUCCGGUCGUGAACUGGUUUGUGCAAAUGGCUCCUUCGGGGCCACUGUUUCCCCCACAGCUACAUGUCGCGGGUUCACAGGCUACUGUGCCACAUUCUCACUUCUUUUUCAUCUCCACCUUGUCUUUGAAGGCCACACUUGAGCAGGCAGCCCUCCCACCUUUUCUGGGCAGUGCCCUGUGAGCAGAAGAGAAGUAGAAACUUCUCCUUUGGUACUGUUCUGGCUCCCAAGGGGCCAUCAGAGGUUUCCCAGGGCUAAGCGUGAAACCAUUGAGGAUUUUCACAGUUGCAAACUGAGCAGAGCCUGCUGCACUAUGUGAAGGUAAAGGGCCAGUUAUGGAAAUUGAUCUAUGACCAAAAAAAGAUGUCACUACCUCCCCAGAGGCAGGUGCCAAAAAUGAAUGUUACUGUGUUCCCUAGAAUGAUGAAUGAAAACAUUGAAUGAAACCUGAGUAAUAAUCGUGCUAGACUAUUUAGUGUAACCUGUGACAAAGAAUCCAUUAAACCGGGACUAUUUGGGGGAAUACAAGAAAAAAACGUGCUGUUCAAUGUGCCAUAAUCGUGGGGCGCCUGGGUGGUGCAGUCGGUUAAGCGUCCGACUUCAGCCAGGUCACGAUCUCGCGGUCCGUGAGUUCAAGCCCCGCGUCAGGCUCUGGGCUGAUGGCUCAGAGCCUGGAACCUGUUUCCGAUUCUGUGUCUCCCUCUCUCUCUGCCCCUCCCCCAUUCAUGCUCUGUCUCUCUCUGUCCCAAAAAAUAAAUAAACGUUGAAAAAAAAUUAAAAAAAAAAUGUGCCAUAAUCGUGACGUACAUUUUCUCAUUCCACCGUCUCAAAAUUCCUCCGAGGUAGUAUUAUAGCUGCUGGUUUCUUGAAGCAGGUAUGUUAAGUAACUGGACAAAGAUCACACAGCUAGGAGGUAAAAAGCCAGGAUUUUGACAUUCUGGUGAUCUACGUUCAUUCCAUAUCAUGCAGCCUCAUGGAUGCUCGAAGACUGGCCUAAUCAGAAGGAGGAGGCAAGUGAGAUCACAGACGAACUGCCAGGGAUGGAAGUAUCUGGGUGAGGAGGAUGCAGAAGAUGGAUGCAGGAAAGCAAGAAAAGAAAGUGGAAGAGAGAGAUGUUGAGAAGACUAUAUACCUGCAUCGGAUCAUCCUAAGGCCCCACAGCUUACAGAAGAAAUCAAGAUGAGCACAACUCCCUGGUCCCUGAGGGAGAAGGGGUCGUGGAAGAGGCAGUUGGCAGAUGUGUAUCGGGAGGGCUGAGCUGGCAGCAAGAGAUGUGUCUGGUGUCUUUCUAAGAAGAAGAGACUAGGACACAGAUACACUCAGAGGAAAGGCCAUGUGAGGACACAGGGAGAAGGUGGUCAUCUACAAGCCAAAGAGAGAGGCCUCAGAAGAAGCCAACCCUGUCGGCACCCUGAUCUUGGACUUCCAGCCUCUAGAACUGUGAGAAAAUAAAUUUCUGUUGUUUCAACCACCCAA